Molecule: ribosomal RNA, 253 nt
Filed under: uncultured bacterium
Lineage: Bacteria
Description: partial 16S ribosomal RNA
Rfam family: Bacterial small subunit ribosomal RNA
Source: RNAcentral
UACGUAGGGGGCAAGCGUUGUCCGGAUUCAUUGGGCGUAAAGAGCGUGUAGGCGGCCAGGUAGGUCGGUUGUGAAAACUGGAGGCUCAACCUUCAGAGGUCGAUCGAAACCAUCUGGCUAGAGUCCGGGAGAGGAGAGUGGAAUUCCUGGUGUAGCGGUGAAAUGCGCAGAUAUCAGGAAGAACACCAAUGGCGAAGGCAGCUCUCUGGGACGGUACUGACGCUGAGGCGCGAAAGCUAGGGGAGCGAACGGG